ACUCAAAUGAAUUGACGGGGACCUGCACAAGCGGUGGAGCGUGUGGUUUAAUUCGAAACUAAGCGAAGAACCUUACCAAGGCUUGACAUCUCUGGAAAGUUCUGGAAACAGAACCGUGCCGCAAGGAACCAGAUGACAGGUGUUGCACGGUUGUCGUCAGCUCGUGCUGUGAAGUGUCCCGUUCAGUCGGUUAACGAGCGCAACCCCUACCUUGUGUUGCUUUUUCACAAGGAACUGCCUGGGUCAACCAGGAGGAAGGUGGGGACGACGUCAAAUCAGCGUGGCCCUUACGCCUUGGGCGACACACGCGCUACAAUGGGGAGUAACAAUGGGUUGCCAAGCCGUGAGGCGGAGCUAAUCCCACCAAACCUCCCCCCAGUUCGGAUUGAGGGCUGAAACUCGCCCCCAUGAAGUCGGAAUCGCUAGUAACGGCCGGUCAGCCAUACGGCCGUGAAUACGUUCUCAGGUCUUGUACACACCGCCCGU
This 486-nucleotide ribosomal RNA is filed under the name uncultured bacterium. RNAcentral describes it as "partial 16S ribosomal RNA". It matches the Rfam family "Bacterial small subunit ribosomal RNA", at positions 899 to 1397 of the family's 1533-position model. The record is from RNAcentral.